GUCCAUUUGGUGGUAUAAAUGGUCUGGCCUGCUCACUGAUAAUUUUAUUGAAGAGCCGCGGUAUUUUGACCGUGCAAAGGUAGCAUAAUCAUUAGGGGUUUAAUUGGAACCUGGUAUGAAAGGUUGAACAAAGAAAAAACUGUCUUUAUAUUAUAAAUUGAAAUUUACUUUUAAGUGAAAGGGCUUAAAUAAAUCAAAGGGACGAUAAGACCCUAUAAAGCUUUAUAAGUCGGUUAUAUUUAUUUGAUGUAAAAAAUAAAGAUUAAAUUUAAUUUUCUUAUUUUAUUGGGGUGAUAUGAGUAUAAAUUUUGUUAACUGCUUAUAAAAAAUACAAGUUUGUGUGGUUAAAUAAUAAAUGAUCCUUUUUAAAGAUUAAAAGACUAAGUUACUUUAGGGAUAACAGCGUUAUUUCUUUUGAGAGUUCAUAUCGAAAAAGAAGAUUGCGACCUCGAUGUUGAAUUAAAAUGUCUAUAUAAUGCAGCCGUUAUAAAAGAGGGUCUGUUCGACCUUUAAAUUUUU
This 519-nucleotide ribosomal RNA is filed under the name Chasmophora macrophthalma. Its description in RNAcentral is "partial 16S large subunit ribosomal RNA". It matches the Rfam family "Bacterial large subunit ribosomal RNA", at positions 1831 to 2597 of the family's 2925-position model. Lineage: Eukaryota; Metazoa; Arthropoda; Malacostraca; Decapoda; Panopeidae. The record is from RNAcentral.